GUGAGUCGUUGUAGCAAUACAAGGCAUACGGCUCAGUAACACGUAGUCAAUCUAACCUAUGGACGGGGAUAACCUCGGGAAACUGAGGAUAAACCCCGAUAGAUCAUUAUGCCUGGAACGGUUUAUGGUCUAAAUGAUUCGUCGCCGUAGGGUGGGACUGCGGCCUAUCAGUUUGUUGGUGAGGUAAUGGCCCACUAAGACUAUUACAGGUACGGGCUCUGAGAGGAGUAGCCCGGAGAUGGGUACUGAGACACGGACCCAGGCCCUAUGGGGCGCAGCAGGCGAGAAAACUUUGCAAUGUGCGAAAGCACGACAAGGUUAAUCCGAGUGGUUUCUGCUAAAGGAACCUUUUGUCGGUCCUAGAAACACCGACGAAUAAGGGGUGGGCAAGUUCUGGUGUCAGCCGCCGCGGUAAAACCAGCACCUCAAGUGGUCAGGAUGAUUAUUGGGCCUAAAGCAUCCGUAGCCGGCUCUGUAAGUUUUCGGUUAAAUCUGUAUGCUCAACAUACAGGCUGCCGGGAAUACUGCAGAGCUAGGGAGUGGGAGAGGUAGACGGUACUCGGUAGGAAGGGGUAAAAUCCUUUGAUCUAUUGAUGACCACCUGUGGCGAAGGCGGUCUACCAGAACACGUCCGACGGUGAGGGAUGAAAGCUGGGGGAGCAAACCGGAUUAGAUACCCGGGUAGUCCCAGCUGUAAACUAUGCAAACUCAGUGAUGCAUUGGCUUGUGGCCAAUGCAGUGCUGCAGGGAAGCCGUUAAGUUUGCCGCCUGGGAAGUACGUACGCAAGUAUGAAACUUAAAGGAAUUGGCGGGGGAGCACCACAAGGGGUGAAGCCUGCGGUUCAAUUGGAGUCAACGCCGGG
RNAcentral lists this ribosomal RNA (863 nucleotides) under uncultured archaeon. RNAcentral's name for it is "bacterial SSU rRNA". It matches the Rfam family "Archaeal small subunit ribosomal RNA", at positions 53 to 922 of the family's 1478-position model. The record is from RNAcentral.